UUGAGUAAAAAGUAGUGUUGUUUGCUAUAAGACUUCAUUUAAUAAAUAUGCAACUUGGCUUGGGCAUGUAUCAUUUUUUUGAGGUUUGAGAUCCACAAUUGGAAACUACAAAUAACCACUGAUACUUGUUAAACAAUUACAGAAAUCCACUUGUCUGUAAAUCUUUUAUCCCACUAUAUCGAUAUAAUUUUUGAAAAGAUUUUCUAGGCCCUGUAUGCUCUUCUGGUUGUCAAGAAUGAUCAAAGAAAAUUCAGACAGUGAAGAAUGCAUUAGGAGGAUCAGGUUAAGUGUUCUCAGUAUCUGAUAUUGCGCAUUUGGAUGAGGAGCCAAUGGAGCAGUCUGAGGCAGAUUAGAGUAGGACUGAAACUGAAGUAAUAUUGCAUUUGUGGUAUCUCUUCUUGAGAGAAAAUAAAGAAGUAAUAAUCUCAAUUUUUUGUUUUGCUUUCCGUAUUUUGAUUUUCCUUUGUACAUGCGAACGAUGAAGAGAUACCACAAUAC
This 498-nucleotide long non-coding RNA is filed under the name Phoenix dactylifera (date palm). RNAcentral describes it as "long non-coding RNA (PDAC_LNC005406)". Lineage: Eukaryota; Viridiplantae; Streptophyta; Magnoliopsida; Arecales; Arecaceae. The record is from RNAcentral.